UACGUAGGUGGCAAGCGUUGUCCGGAUUUACUGGGCGUAAAGAGCGCGCAGGCGGUCGGAUAAGUCGAAUGUGAAAGCCCCUGGCUCAACCAGGGAGGGUCAUUCGAUACUGUUCGACUCGAAGGCAGGAGAGGGAAGCGGAAUUCCGGGUGUAGUGGUGAAAUGCGUAGAUAUCCGGAGGAACACCAGUGGCGAAGGCGGCUUUCUGGCCUGUUCUUGACGCUGAGGCGCGAAAGCCAGGGGAGCGAACAGG
This 253-nucleotide ribosomal RNA is filed under the name uncultured bacterium. RNAcentral describes it as "partial 16S ribosomal RNA". It matches the Rfam family "Bacterial small subunit ribosomal RNA", at positions 524 to 776 of the family's 1533-position model. The record is from RNAcentral.